Long non-coding RNA from Grammomys surdaster, 434 nucleotides. RefSeq lists it as uncharacterized. The record is from RefSeq and is a predicted model, not a curated record. NCBI's taxonomy places the organism in Eukaryota, Metazoa, Chordata, Mammalia, Rodentia, Muridae. The transcript is spliced from 3 exons.
UCCAGGACCCUUGACGCCCAACGUGAAGCCCUUUGGGUCAGGGUCUGAUGGAACAUUUCUUUCACAAGGAAGUCUCUCAAGCAUAGGAUCGAGGCUUCUCUGGACAGAAGAGAGAAGAUCCUCAUUGUGAUCUCCACAGAGUCACCCACCUGCGAGAUUGAUCUGCUGAAGCAACAAGAAUAACAAUAAUGGAGCCUCUGGUCUGGAGCCAAGCACUAAGCAGAUCCUGGGCAGCUGCUCUCUACCCAGUCUCACAAAACCAGAGGAAGGAGGCCUACGAGGAGCUCUAACCCAGGCAGUAUCUUAGAAUGUACAGCCUUGGUGUAUCUACUCAUCAAGCUAUCUGAGCAGACCUGGUGGAACCUCUGAUGUCCUGGAAUCUCAGCAGGAUGCAAUGAACACACAGACGUCAGAGGCUUAUCAAUUUGUUCUCC